GACGAACGCUGGCGGCGUGCCUAAUACAUGCAAGUAGAACGCUUGAGGAGGAGCUUGCUCUGCUGGAUGAGUUGCGAACGGGUGAGUAACCCGUAGGUAACCUGCCUGGUAGCGGGGGAUAACUAGUGGCAACGAUAGCUAAUACCGCAUAAGAGUAGAUGUUGCAGGACAUUCACUGAAAAGGUGCAAUUGCGUCAAGACCAGAUGGACCUCCGUCGUAGUAGCGAGAUGGUGGGGUAAAGGCCUACCAAGGUGACGAUCCGUAGCUGAUCUGAGAGGAGGAGCAGUGACACUGGAACUGAGACACGGUCCAGACUCCUACGGGAGGCAGCAGUGGGGAAUAUUGGACAAUGGGCGAAAGCCUGAUCCAGCCAUGCCGCGUGUGUGAAGAAGGUCUUCGGAUUGUAAAGCACUUUAAGUUGGGAGGAAGGGCAGUAAGUUAAUACCUUGCUGUUUUGACGUUACCAACAGAAUAAGCACCGGCUAACUUCGUG
RNAcentral lists this ribosomal RNA (494 nucleotides) under uncultured bacterium. RNAcentral's name for it is "partial 16S ribosomal RNA". It matches the Rfam family "Bacterial small subunit ribosomal RNA", at positions 28 to 507 of the family's 1533-position model. The record is from RNAcentral.